AAUCAGUACAAAAUAAUAAACCAAGCCGUAACCCACGUGGACGUCAAAACAGAGGCGACUCCACCGUGCGCUUGACGUCAUACACUGCAUUCGAAGCCCACGGGAGGUACUAAUUGGUUAAUUAGCUAGCAAUUUACCUUACCUUGAUUUUCUUUUUAUAAUUGCCCAUUCUGAAACCCAAGUUUAUGUAGUUAAAUUGGGCUGAUGAGUUUACAUGAAAGGGAAAAUAUUAUAUGCUAAUUGAUGCUGGAAUAAAGACUGCAGUAAAGUCUUGAGGGAGACCUGUAACAGUGGACCAUGCCCCAGACAGUGAGUAACCCCCCGGGCUUGUGCAUUAGUGCCAAAACCAUUCCAGAGAGAGAGACGAUAUAUUCAUGCACUGGCGCCACAGACCCUGUUCCAGAGAGGAAGGUGAUGUAUUCAGGCAAUGGUAUACUGGACCCUGCUCCAGACCGUAGGUACAGGCAGGCCUAUUCUUCCAGGUAUAGGUGGAAAUGGAGGAGGAAGUCAAAAAAAGAAACACAGCCGUUGCCGCCAGCCCCACCUCUGCCACCGUAUGAGGAAGAAAACUGGGAGGAGGAGAUGGGAAUCGUUGAGACAUAUGGAUUUGCUCCAUAUGGCCCAGAGGAUGUGGAUAGAGUGGCCCUACAGGGGUUGACCCUGAACCAGCCCCCCUGCCCUCCCCACCCCCAGACAGCAACCGACUACAGCCCUGCCACGCACCACCAAGCCCCCAUCAAAUGGGUCUGCCACAUCAUCUGCAUCGUGAAGGAGCAGUUUGUCGACGCAGAGGUUUGAGGUCCGGUGUGUUCCGAUACACUUUUUAUUAGUUUACUCUUUAAUUGUGAGCUCUUAGGAAUGAUUUUAGUUGUUUUCUCAGGUGUUUUAAGUUCUGCUUGUCCCUUGGUUGGUUUAUUAAUGAAUUAGGAUGAUGUAUUUGUAGCCUUGUUGACAGUUGGGUCACGUGUUAAUAACACUUCAUGAUUUUUGUGAAUUUCAAUAGAUUUGUAGUCUAACUCUUAACUAAAAGAGAAAUCAUAAAAACUAUCUUAUUUUUUUGAAAUACUUUUGUUUUAAAAGCAAAUAACUGAUAGGCCCAUGUGUUCAACUGUCACUCUCCCUUUAAAAUCAAAUGUGUUAAAAUAGAGGGCCCAGUGCAAGAAUAAGAUGUUACCAGGUUUAUUACACUGAUAUGUUUGGAUUUAUUCUCAAAUGGAUUGGACUGAUUCUGAGCCCAUGGAGAGCAAGAGGUCAGGUCUCCAUGACUCCAGCACUCUGUAAUACACAACCCACUGGGCACAGAUGUCAAUUCGACAUUGGUUCAAUGUAAUUUCAUUGUAAUGGUGUGGAAACAACGUUGCUUCAAACAGUGUGCACCCAGUGAGAAUGAAAUUCAGCUUUUAAAUUCCAGGAUCUCUUUAACACGAAUAAACCAUGCAUUUUAACAACAACCCUCUACACUGACGCUUCAUUCCCACAGUUUUUGUUGUAGAAGUAGUUCAGAAGAGAAA
Molecule: long non-coding RNA, 1511 nt
Filed under: Salmo salar (Atlantic salmon)
Lineage: Eukaryota; Metazoa; Chordata; Actinopteri; Salmoniformes; Salmonidae
Description: lncRNA (ENSSSAG00000089146.1)
Source: RNAcentral